AAAUUGAAGAGUUUGAUCAUGGCUCAGAUUGAACGCUGGCGGCAGGCCUAACACAUGCAAGUCGAACGGUAACAGGAAGCAGCUUGCUGCUUCGCUGACGAGUGGCGGACGGGUGAGUAAUGUCUGGGAAACUGCCUGAUGGAGGGGGAUAACUACUGGAAACGGUAGCUAAUACCGCAUAAUGUCGCAAGACCAAAGAGGGGGACCUUAGGGCCUCUUGCCAUCGGAUGUGCCCAGGUGGGAUUAGCUUGUUGGUGGGGUAACGGCUCACCAAGGCGACGAUCC
This 285-nucleotide ribosomal RNA is filed under the name Escherichia coli. RNAcentral describes it as "partial 16S ribosomal RNA". It matches the Rfam family "Bacterial small subunit ribosomal RNA", at positions 1 to 282 of the family's 1533-position model. The record is from RNAcentral. Lineage: Bacteria; Pseudomonadati; Pseudomonadota; Gammaproteobacteria; Enterobacterales; Enterobacteriaceae.